RNAcentral lists this ribosomal RNA (274 nucleotides) under uncultured bacterium. RNAcentral's name for it is "partial 16S ribosomal RNA". It matches the Rfam family "Bacterial small subunit ribosomal RNA", at positions 523 to 796 of the family's 1533-position model. The record is from RNAcentral.
CUACGGAUGGUGCGAGCGUUGUUCGGAAUUACUGGGCGUAAAGGGCGCGUAGGCGGCGAUGUAAGUCAAAUGUGAAAGUCCUCGGCUUAACCGGGGAAGUGCAUCUGAAACUGCAUUGCUUGAGUAUGGGAGAGGAAAGUGGAAUUCCUGGUGUAGAGGUGAAAUUCGUAGAGAUCAGGAGGAAUACCGGUGGCGAAGGCGACUUUCUGGACCAAUACUGACGCUGAGGCGCGAAAGCGUGGGGAGCAAACAGGAUUAGAAACCCUAGUAGUCC